Molecule: transfer RNA, 28 nt
Filed under: Goniopecten demonstrans
Lineage: Eukaryota; Metazoa; Echinodermata; Asteroidea; Paxillosida; Goniopectinidae
Description: partial tRNA-Thr
Source: RNAcentral
AGCCUUAAAAGCUACUGAAAGCAAUUAA